UUUCUGUCGGAACGCUUCAGAAGAAUGAGAUGAAUAUGGACGAAAGAGAAUUUUUUCUCUUAGGAUUAGGCCUCCUUGGUCUACUGGCUUCGGUAGCAGCUGUUGUUAUCGGAAUAUUCGGAGCCAUCUUUAUAUCCUUGUCAGCAUUUUUGGUUUAUCAGGGUAGCAGCUAUAUUUCAAGAUCUCCGUUCCGCGUUAGUAAUUUUCUGAAAAGCUAUCGACCGCCACGGACAGUCUGGUGUUCAAAGGUUGAGUUUGGGGAUAUAUGGAUACCUCCUGAUGUAGACGAUGCACUAGAAAGAUUGUAUGAGAGAAUUGUGACUGAAUUUAUCGUUAGUUGGUAUAAAGAUAUAUCUCCAGAUCUUGAGUUUAUCCAGCAGAUUAGAAUUAUAAUUAGAAAUAUUACUGCAAACAUUAUCUUCAGACUUAUGCGGGUUGAUAUAACUGAACUAUUAAUGGUUGAUAUUGUACCUAUUGUCGCACAACAUCUAGACUCUGUUCUAUGGACUCGUCAACACACCCAGGGAGAGCAGGGAAAGAAGAACUUUAAAUCAAAUUAUAUCGCCCUUGUAGGCAAAGAUGUUCAUAUAGCCUUGUCCUCUAGAGAGGCAGAAGUUGAAUAUUUAGAAGAUUUAUCAGCUAGAAUUAUUCCUCUUAUUUACAAGGAGGGAGUUAAGAGCAGAUUAGUUUCUAGCUUUGCUCUGAGUUUAGUUAGCAGACCUAUUCUACUAAACCUUCUAGACUCACUCUGUAAUCCAAGGAAUGUGAACAAACUUCUUUGUCUCUGGUUUCACCCAGAUCCUGGGAAGGAGUUUUUAUCCUCACCUGCACCUCCUGUCAAACUCCUAUUUAGAUUUGUUCAUUCUCAUCAUCAUUCAUCUCCAUCAUCCUUUCAUGUGGAUUUAUCAGAGAUUCUUAGUAACCAGGAGCUGUUGUGUCAGUUUGUCCAUUACUUAAAGGGAUGUGGAGGUGUUAAUCUACUUAACUUCUGCCUUGCUGUAGAGGAUUUCAAUAAGAAAAUAAUGAAUGCCGGUCUCACCAAAACAGAGUUGGUCAACCUUCAUGCGGAAGCCAAGGUCUUGUUCAAUACAUACAUGAAUGUUGGUUCAUCGCAGUUCAUUUCCUUUACUUCCGAAAUAGUCGAAGACAUUAACAACAUCCUUCUAGGGGAGUUCAAAGAUGUAGAAAAGUUGAGAACCACUCCUCCACUCUUCCGUGCAUAUGAGCAGGCCUACAAUAAUCUGGAGGACAACUUCUGUCCAGACUUUCAUCUUAGCUCACAGUAUUUAAACCUGAACUUUGGUUGUCGACUUGCUGAAGUCAAACCUAAUUCAAUAAACAAGUCCUCGAGUCAAGACAGGAAUAAGAAGGGUUGGCUCGCGUCUAUAAAUCCUUUCAGCAAAAAAUCUAAAUGCACAACUUCCCAAUCUAUUUUUUAUGAUGGUUUAUCACUGCAUGAUGAUUGUCCUAUUAGUAUGAGUGGGUUAAGACGAAGUGUAUCAGAAUCUGAUAUUUUGGAAGAUAAAUCAGAGGAUAAAGAUAUUUCAAGGUCUUGUGAAAAUUUGUUAGAAGAUGAACAUUCAAAUGAUCUCUCUUUAUAUGACCUGUCACCUGCAACCAGAGCACAGUCUUUGGAUAUGUUGGAUGAGCCUAAGGACGUAUUGUCAAGUCCCCGAAGUAGCACAAUGCCUAAAGAUUUAAAACCUCUUGAAAAGGCAAAAUCUUCUCGUAAAGUCAAACCGAAAGCUUUGUUAAAAAGUAUCUCCGUUGGAGUUGAACAUAAUGUUGCGUCGCCGCUGAGAAAGAUGUCAGAUGUUGGAAGAAAAAUGGCGUCUGUUCUACCCUGGAGACGGGGUUCUAUAUCGUCUCAGACCUCAAACACGGAUUCUAUAAUAGAGGAAACUAAAUCUUGUCUGGACCCAGAGCAGGAGACUGAUGCUGAUAGGAUUCCUGGAGGUAAGCUGAGCCGGUUAAAGCAGGGUGUGCUAGGAAACCCUGUUGAGGGCUGCCCGUGUCCAGAUAGAUUGACGGAUUCAGCUUUCGAUCUGGUCUCUAAUAUGAAGAAUGAUUCCAGUAAUAUCAACCAAGAUCUGGAGAUUAGAGACUUGAGCGCCUGGAGAGUUGAGAUACGGAACCUGGAAACAAGAAGUUUUGGCGGGAAAUCUUGCUUUGUUUUUAUUCUCCAGGUUCAAAGAAUUGAUGUAGCGUCAGCUAGUGAUGGACAGGAUUUAGAGUGGACUGUUGCAAGGCAGUAUCAUGAGUUCUAUACUUUGCAAUCUGCUCUCACACAAUUCCAUGGAGUAUUAGAUGAUAUAAAGUUACCAGCCCGCAGUAAACUCUUCCGAGGACGGGGUCUAGAUGUACUUCAGUCAAAAAUUGAACCAUUUCAGGAUUAUCUGGUGAAACUGCUGCAGCAACCAAGCCUGAAAAAGUCAGAUCUUCUUUUCACAUUUCUUACUUCGCAAGAAGAGUUUACUGAAGCCGCGUCCCAGCUUGGUUUAACCAGAAUGAUUAAAAAUGUUCCCAAAAAACUAACCAAGGAGAAAGGACAGUCCUUACAUGAAUUCAUCAAUUCAUUCAUUAAUUCAACAAUUCCUUCAAAAGACAGUGAGUUCAGUUUGUCAGUGGAUGACAGUAUUUCCGACAAUCUGGAUAAUAAAUCCAUUUAUGCAGAUAAUUUUUCCGAGCAUUUUCCUUUUAGUGGAACAACCCUGGGACCCAGCCAAACCUUCAAACCAGAUGGGCUUUACGAGAUUAUACUGUACUUGUGCUUCCGUGUGUUCAAAGUUGGUAAUACAGUCAUCAGGUUAUUAUACAGCGUGAAAUGGAUUCUAGAGACCUCUGUGAAUCAUAUUGUUAACUACCUUCUAGCAUCUAAACUUAACACUCUGCUAAUUCAUAGCAGAGUGUCAUAUAUCAUUGAUGUAAUACAAGAGAGUAUAUUUUGUCCUGAGGAGAAUAUACCUGAUGAAGAACAUAAUUUUAUAGCAGACAAAACACUUAAAUACUUCAGGAAGUAUAUUCCCAGCAUUUUAGAAACCAUUUCCCCUGCUGGGUUUGAGUCAGGAACUAAAGAUUUGUUUCAAACAUUCCAGGAUCCGUGGUUGAACAAGCAACUGAUAUAUACACUCCUAGAAAAUAUUCUUCCCAAACUUUUCCCAGAACUAAGAAACUGAGCAAGCAAGCUAGACUUAAAAGUUAAAAUAUCAAUUUAUCUUUAAAUUUUACCAUUCGAUCGUGCCAGUCAUCAGUUAUUCAGUCAUCAUACAUGUUUUGGUCUUCUUAGAAAAAAUUAAUUUUACAUAAAAAAAAUCUUAUAUCUUGCAUUUAAAAAAAACCUCCAUGUUUUUUAGCGAUUCUCACAGAAAGUUAUUUUCUAAAGAUGCUGUAAGCUAAUUUAUUCAAUUCAUAAUUAGGGACCGAAUUCAAUGAAACUGAGUUAGGUAGCUGAAUUACUACCUACUGUCGAUUCAAAUAUUUCUUGUUAGUUUUGCUGUGUAGGUAUCAUCGGGGACAAAUUCUGAAUCACCGAUCCCAUGUCUUAAUUAUGUAAACAGCUAAACUGCACAACUACAGACAAGUAUUUGAAUCCACUGUAGGUAGGUCAUCAACCUAGCCCAAACUCAUUAAAUUUGGUUAUGAGGGUAGAAUUGGAAAUUGCUUCAUAGCAAGCGCUACCUCCAUAAAAAGUUUGUUGUAAAGCUUUCUGUAAUCUUCAUGCCGCUAUAUCCGAAAUGGCUAGAUUAUGGUGAAUUUUUAUUAUAUUUUUAUGAAUAUUUAGAACAUAUCUGUUUAGUAAUCUAACUUUUGUUAAAAAUGUGUUAAUAUUUGUGAACAAGCUGAAUCAAAAUCUAUGAAAUUAGUCCAGGGCCAAGACAGCUUGCAUUCUUCUUGCAUUUAGUAUCUUAUCCUGUGAUAACGAAACAACCAAUAGUCAGAGUAACUAUCAAUCAUAUUCAUGUUUAAAUGUUUAUUAUGUGUGUACUGUGUAGCGUAUAGGAAUAAAUUUUUAAGAUAUCGUUGUUUUACACUCGUCUGACAACAACACACUAAAAUGUAUGUAUUUAAUGUUAGGACAAAUAAACUAUGAAUUAAUA
This 4097-nucleotide unclassified non-coding RNA is filed under the name Eurytemora carolleeae. RNAcentral's name for it is "sorting nexin-14". The record is from RNAcentral. Lineage: Eukaryota; Metazoa; Arthropoda; Copepoda; Calanoida; Temoridae.